UGAGCUUGAUCCUGGCUCAGGACGAACGCUGGCGGCGUGCCUAAUACAUGCAAGUCGAGCGCAGGAAGCCGGCGGAUCCCUUCGGGGUGAAGCCGGUGGAAUGAGCGGCGGACGGGUGAGUAACACGUGGGCAACCUACCUUGUAGACUGGGAUAACUCCGGGAAACCGGGGCUAAUACCGGAUGAUCAUUUGGAUCGCAUGAUCCGAAUGUAAAAGUGGGGAUUUAUCCUCACACUGCAAGAUGGGCCCGCGGCGCAUUAGCUAGUUGGUAAGGUAAUGGCUUACCAAGGCGACGAUGCGUAGCCGACCUGAGAGGGUGAUCGGCCACACUGGAACUGAGACACGGUCCAGACUCCUACGGGAGGCAGCAGUAGGGAAUCAUCCGCAAUGGGCGAAAGCCUGACGGUGCAACGCCGCGUGAACGAUGAAGGUUUUCGGAUCGUAAAGUUCUGUUAUGAGGGAAGAACAAGUGCCGUUCGAAUAGGUCGGCACCUUGACGGUACCUCACGAGAAGCCA
This 518-nucleotide ribosomal RNA is filed under the name Bacillus sp. M14-C24. Its description in RNAcentral is "bacterial SSU rRNA". It matches the Rfam family "Bacterial small subunit ribosomal RNA", at positions 1 to 493 of the family's 1533-position model. Lineage: Bacteria; Bacillati; Bacillota; Bacilli; Caryophanales; Bacillaceae. The record is from RNAcentral.